CCUACGGGUGGCAGCAGUGAGGAAUAUUGGUCAAUGGGCGUAAGCCUGAACCAGCCAAGUCGCGUGAGGGAUGAAGGUUCUAUGGAUCGUAAACCUCUUUUAUAAGGGAAUAAAGGGUGGGACGUGUCCUAUUUUGUAUGUACCUUAUGAAUAAGGAUCGGCUAACUCCGUGCCAGCAGCCGCGGUAAUACGGAGGGUCCGAGCGUUAUCCGGAUUUAUUGGGUUUAAAGGGUGCGUAGGCGGCCUUUUAAGUCAGCGGUGAAAGUCUGUGGCUCAACCAUAGAAUUGCCGUUGAAACUGGGGGGCUUGAGUCUGUUUGAGGCGGGUGGAAUGCGAGGUGUAGCGGUGAAAUGCUUAGAGAUCACGCAGAACCCCGAUUGCGAAGGCAGCCUCCCAAGCCAUGACUGACGCUGAGGCACGAAAGCGUGGGGAUCAAACAGGAUUAGAUACCCCUGUAGUC
Molecule: ribosomal RNA, 460 nt
Filed under: uncultured bacterium
Lineage: Bacteria
Description: partial 16S ribosomal RNA
Rfam family: Bacterial small subunit ribosomal RNA
Source: RNAcentral